This 84-nucleotide transfer RNA is filed under the name Gadus morhua (Atlantic cod). RNAcentral describes it as "tRNA-Leu (CAA) (tRNA-Leu-CAA-8-1)". It matches the Rfam family "tRNA". From Rfam's summary of the family: Transfer RNA (tRNA) molecules are approximately 80 nucleotides in length. Their secondary structure includes four short double-helical elements and three loops (D, anti-codon, and T loops). Further hydrogen bonds mediate the characteristic L-shaped molecular structure. tRNAs have two regions of fundamental functional importance: the anti-codon, which is responsible for specific mRNA codon recognition, and the 3' end, to which the tRNAs corresponding amino acid is attached (by aminoacyl-tRNA synthetases). tRNAs cope with the degeneracy of the genetic code in two manners: having more than one tRNA (with a specific anti-codon) for a particular amino acid; and 'wobble' base-pairing, i.e. permitting non-standard base-pairing at the 3rd anti-codon position. Lineage: Eukaryota; Metazoa; Chordata; Actinopteri; Gadiformes; Gadidae. The record is from RNAcentral.
UUCAGGAUGGCCGAGUGGUCUAAGGCGCCAGACUCAAGUUCUGGUCUCCAAUUGGAGGCGUGGGUUAAAGUCCCACUUCUGGCA